This is a long non-coding RNA of Papaver somniferum (opium poppy), 2083 nucleotides long. RefSeq lists it as uncharacterized. The transcript is spliced from 7 exons. The record is from RefSeq and is a predicted model, not a curated record. Lineage: Eukaryota; Viridiplantae; Streptophyta; Magnoliopsida; Ranunculales; Papaveraceae.
UCCUCACCAUUACAUCUUCUCUGCAUAAUCUUUCGACCGACCAUUUCAUUAACCGAAGCUAAAUCCUGAAUGGCCGAUUCACGCUUUCAUUACAAGGGUUUCACAUGCAGUAAUCAGUCUAUCUGCAAUUCUAAUUGGUGAUGGUGCAGGAUCGUGAUGAUUUUGGUUUGUUUUGAGUGAAAAAACGGCUGUAGAAACCAGCGAGAAGAGCAAGGGUUCAUGUUGAAUGGUAUUGCUGGUGGAGUUUGAAGACGCAGAUCAAUUGCAGAAUGGGUUCAUGUUGAGGGGGAUGAAGAUGACAGUUAACAAAAAAUCUGGGGAUGUUUGGGGUUCGAUGUUGUGCUGUAAUUGGGGAUUUCUGGGUUCGAUUCAAAUCGGUGGGAGUGCCAUCGAUUCAUGGUUGUCAAAUAAGGUUUGCAUUGAAAAGGGUUUUUUCAUUAACAGCAAAACCAUCAGGUUGCAAAUAAGGUGUUCAACAAAAGGCCUGAACUACCAGUUUAGUUCCACCAUGUUUGCAAUGAGUUUGGAUUGUCUAGCGAAUUUGAGAGGAAAUGGAUCUGGAGUGGUCUGAAGAGCAGGAGCUAUAUCAGUGAGAAUUUCUGAUUCCAGUUUACUUUUGAGGAGGCUCUAAAAAUGAAGCCGUAGUGGAUGCGAAGAGCAUAAAAAUUGUAUGAUGGAGAAGGACAUACAUCUUAGGACAGAAGAUGAAAUUGGUGAGUUGUUCGAUAUAAGCUGUAGUGAAGCCGUCUGUUUAUAAUGAUCUCUUAGUUCGGUUAACUAAGGUAAUUUCUUAAUUUGAUCUUUCUUUGCAUUUUGAUUUUGCUGGCAAGGGUCGGUCUCAAGAAUAAAAGAAGUAAUAACGGCAAAUAUCAUGCUUGAGCACUGAAGAAAUAUGGGAUCAAGUCCUAGCAAUAAAAGACCGGGUUUGUUUUUGUCACAAUGGGAUUUCGUUUAAAGGAGACACCUUUUAGAUAUCUUAUGCAGAUGAAUUCAAUGCGAUAUCCACUGCCUAGAGCCUCCACCUUGGGGAUUCGUAUCUAAUUAUUUAGGUGGUCAACACCAAAAAUGUCUUGCCGGUGCAUGUUUCAGUUGCAUACCAGUGAUAUAAUGAUGGAUUCUAAAAAUUGUAAGCAGCGGCAAGUAAUAUUUUGGAGUUUGUGCAUGAUGGCGAUAAGAUUGUUGCAGAAUUGACGGACAUUGGGAGGCAAAUUCUGUAAAUUCGAUUGGUUGUCAAUAUUUUAAUAUAAAGUCUUCAUAAGGAGUCUAAUUAUUUUUCUGAAAGCAUUGUAUUCUGCAGCUUUUGAAGGUGGGAUAAGAGCAAGAUGGGGAACAAGACAGUUUAACAAAGAUGCGCCACUUGAUAAGGAUGAAGAUAUGGCAGCUUAUUUGGUUAUCCACUCAUAACUAUAUUUUUCCUAAACCAAUUGCACCUAAGCAAUGACCACCAAAGAUAUCAUGAACAUUAACAGUAGAAUAAGAAAUUUGGAUUGAAGUUAAAGAGGUUUUUUUGGUUUGGUGAGACAAUCUCAGUGUUCUUCAUUGAAACUGGAGUAGGUGGUGCAAGUUUAAUAGCUCAUAGUUGGUGUUGCCACUCACUUGCAUGCAGUGUCAGAUGGACAUUAAGGUAUUGAUUAUCUGCGUCUGUAUAGAUUCAAAUUUCUACAACAGUACCAUAUACAGGUUCUUAGUGCACUUUCCUGGAUUUCACUGAUGAACUUUUCUGCCUUAAUCUAUUGGCCUUCCGUCAAUUAAUGCAAAAUGAAAGCUUACUCGAGUUUGGCAUGCACCGGCAUCGAUCUUUUAAUUCGGAGCUUUACUAUUUUUCUCAGUAAUCUCCACGUUUUCAAAUAAUUAUUUCUACCAUGGAUUUCCAUCUGCAAUUCUAGAGAUGGAGUUAUUUGGAAUGUAAUAAAGUGGACUACUGUUCUCUAUAUAUGUACUAUAUAGACUUGGGAUUAUGUUGUCGGGAUGAUAUGUGUGCAUAACGCAGGAGAGGAGAUAAGAUGAACUCUUUCUUGCUAUCCCUUUAUGCUUAUGAACCAUUUGAGGUUUAACUGUUCAUUAUAUAACCAGACUUACAUUA